UCACAUCGCCCACCGACGCCCAAAUCUUAAUUUAUUUUGUUUCCAUAGACGAUCGCGAUUUGGAACAGCGAGCGAGCGAUUGGGCGCCCCCAAAUUUAAUUCUUGGAGGCCGAGAAUUGGAAAGAAGCGUAAUUGGAAUCCCUCCAAUCCCCAAUGGCGGAGCUGGCCGCAACGAAGGCGGCGGCCGAGCAGGAUGCGAAGGCCAAGAAAGGCGGCGGCGGAAGAGGCAAAGGGCUCCUUCUCGGGCGAUUCGAAGUCGGGAAGCUCCUCGGCGCCGGCACCUUUGCCAAGGUCUAUGUCGCCCGCAACGUGCGGACCGACGAGCUCGUCGCCAUCAAAGCCCUCGACAAGGAAGCCAUCCUCAAGGGAGGCCUCGUGCCUCACAUCAAGCGUGAGAUCUCCAUCCUCCGCCGCGUGCGCCACCCCUACAUCGUCGAGCUGUUCGAGGUCAUGGCUACGAAGACUAAGAUUUACUUCGUCAUGGAGUACGUCCGCGGCGGCGAGCUCUUCUCCCGGGUCUCCAAGGGCCGCCUCCUUGAGGACACCGCCCGGCGCUACUUCCAGCAGCUCAUCUCCGCCGUGGCCUUUUGCCACUCCCGCGGUGUCUACCACCGCGAUCUAAAGCCAGAGAACCUCCUUUUGGACGAGAAAGGUGACCUAAAGGUCUCCGACUUUGGGCUUUCCGCAGUCGCCAGCCAGAUUCGAAGCGACGGCCUUUUCCACACCUUCUGCGGAACCCCGGCAUACGUCGCUCCCGAGGUCCUCUCCCAGCGAGGCUAUGACGGCGCCAAAGUUGACAUUUGGUCUUGCGGCGUCAUUCUCUUCGUGCUCAUGGCCGGCCAUCUACCCUUUUACGACCGAAGCGUCGUGGCCAUGUAUCGCAAGAUCUAUAAGGGCGUAUUCAGGUGUCCCCGAUGGUUCUCGCAGGAACUCAUCGACCUCCUACACCGUCUUCUCGAUGUUAAUCCCCAAACUCGGAUCACCAUCCCCGAGAUAAUGGAGAAUCCCUGGUUCAAGAAAGGGUUCCGCCACAUUCGAUUCUAUAUUGAAGACAAUGAGCUGCAUAGCAUAACUGAACCAGAAGAUGACCAAUUGCGGAAUGUUGAUGAACCUAGUCGGGCGGAUGAGCCAUACGAAUCGGGGUCUGAGUCGGACUGCUCAGUUGCUUCCUGUCCAGCUACUUUCUCGGACGAUCUUCGUGAGCCGCUAGGGUUGCCGAGGCCGCCGAGCCUUACAGCCUUCGAUAUCAUAUCGUUCUCCAAGGGGUUUGACCUCUCCGGACUGUUUGAAGAAACUGGGGAUAUGACCAGGUUUCUUUCCAAGGAGCCUACGUCCACUAUUAUAUCCAAGCUAGAGGAGAUUGCGAAAGCUGCAAACUUUAAGGUAAGGAUGAAGGAUUGCAGAAUCUUCUUGGAAGGAACAAGGGAGGGGGAGAAGGGCCCGUUGACGAUUGGUGUGGAGAUAUAUGAGCUAACCCCUUCAAUGGUGGUGGUUGAAGUGAAAAAGAAAGCUGGGGAUGGAAAGGAGUACGAAGAAUUCUGCAUCAAUGAGCUGAAGACUGGCUUGAAAGAUCUAGUCUAUGAGUCACCACCCGUCGCAAAAGCCAGUACCAGCACUGGAUAGGCAAAUGUAGUGCAGUUUCUAUGUUUUUUUGAUGGCUGAGCACAUCGGAACAUCUUCUGUAAUGUUGGUAGGCUUUUUGAUAGAAGAGUACAAGCUGAGAUGAUAGGAGAGGAUUCUUGAUCUGAAAGCAUUACUGUUUGUUAUGCCAAAAUGAAACUGGAGCGCCACCGACAUCACUGAUUGUUACUUGGCGUGCAAAGCUUGUGUAGAUAUUGCUAAUUGUUCUUCAAAAGUCAAAACAAUGAUAUUCAAAUCCCUACCUCUCAAUUUAUCAACAUCUACAAUACAAUAGUUGAGGAUGGUACUCUUUAUUGUGCAAUCUUUUAUCUUUCAAUUUUUGCAUUUGGCUCGAAUUGGAAUAAGCAUGAUUAACUUGAUGAAUCUGCUUGAAUCAUGAAGCCAACAAAGAGGUAGGACUCCCCUGUCAAAGCAUAUGCUGCAUUAUGUUUAGAUUGCUAGAGAUUGUUUGCAAUUUUCUUCAUUCUCAUUGCUCGUGAAGGAGCAAAUAGCCAUCGAGUUAACCUUUUCUCUAUAAUCAAACAGUCCUCAUCCAAUAGGAUUUCCUGAAUACUUGCAUGAUUCAUGUAUAUUAUGAUGUAGGUCUGUAUGUUUUUUUGUGUGUUUGUUUGUUUAGACCUAGUAUGUAGUAGUGCCCAGAGUCAUGUAUAUCUGCUUUGUUAUAUGAUUUGUGUGAAUAUAUUUUGCAAGAGUUUUACAGCUACAGACCAGACCAGUAUCGUUGUAAAGGUCUCGCCCAUCUGUUGUUUUACUAGUAAUAUGGUCCUGCAUAGAGGUGAUGAGAUUCAUAUAACUGACCCUGCGUGGUUGGCACACACAUGGUACCAUGAAGAUGAUCAUUGAUAAUGAUGAUGAACUUGGAACGCUGGUGCUUGAAUGGACUCCCGAUGGUAGACAAGAUCCUAGAUGGCAUUGUCACCGUGGCCUACUGUUAACAUUCUCAGCCUUGCAGGCAUUUGCUAUCUAACUUAUUACCAGUUUUGGUACAAAAUUUGUCUGUGAAUAACAACCGUUUCUUAAAAAUUUAUUCUGCCGUAGGUUGCCUUGAGGCUGUAGCUGCUAGUCAAUUUAGCUUUUGCUCUUCUUGUCAUUAUCUUGUUGUCGGGUCGAGGAGAAACUCUCUGUAUUAUCCUUCAACUGCGUCUUGCCGUGACUACUGAUGAAGAUGACUCUUUUCCAUCUGUUUGAUGUCGUUUUCUUGACAUGGAAGUUAAAUGGUUAUAUUUAACUUUGGUUUUUUGCUCAACUUCUUCUCGUAGCAAGUGGUGUUAUGAAUUUAUUUCAUAAGUAUCUAUUUUGAGAAUUAGUUAGGCAAAGCUCGAAUUUUAAAAUUCUUUUAAGAAAAAUCAAAUGAAGAAAUCUGUUCUUUUGAAUAUACACACAUAUAUAUGUUUGAAAAGUUAAAUACGGAAUUUUUUUAUGUUUAUAUAUUUUUUUAAAUUAAAAACUAUGUUUUUUAUUAAAUAUUUAUUUUUCAUUAAUUUUCUUUAAGGUUGGAAAUGUGGGAGGCGGCCCAUGAUCCUUUUAGAAGCCCAAACGCAUGUUUUUUUUAUACGCGAGGAGAAUUUAAUUAGUUGUAUUCUUUCUUGCAAGCGAAAUCGAAGAAAAGCAAUGGCGAGGCGAUCACAUCUGAUGGAGAUCGGGUGCAUCGCCUGCGACGAGCUGUCGGAAGUCGGCGCAGGCGAGAGAGAGGGGUGGCUCGAUGAUCCCUCCCUCCUCGCCGCUCUCCACCACCACUCCCUCGCUCUUGCCUCCGCCACUCGCCCGAUUGCCCUAGUCCUUGGUUGGGACCACGAUCAUCGAUUCUCCUCCUCCGCUGUCCGAGACCCAAUCAAGAUUCACCCGGUGUUGUCUCCAUACGAAGGCCGUAUUACCGCCCUCGAGUGGCUUCCCUUCGGUGACGUCCUCGCUCUGGCACUCGGCACCUCUGCCGGACUCCUCCUCAUCUUCUCUGUUGGAGGCGAUCUGAUCCACAAGCAGCUUGUUCAUACUGGGCAUAUAUUGAGGCUUAGAUUUCGCCAAACUGCAAAAGCAGAUGGAAUUGGGGAAGGCUCCAUUUCUGAGGAACUUUGUGUGGUAUUGCCUGGCGUGGUUGCCCGCUUUGAUGGUUCGGAUAUACAGAGUUUACUUCAUAGAUGGUUUCAAAAGUCCGAAACAGGAAUGUGGGAGAAUAGCCUUAAUAAAUUGGAGUCAGAGGAUGAUGAAACUUCAUAUGGGAGGAUACCUUUUCAGGUUUGGAAUGUUGGCAAGUUUGGAAGUUGUGUUGAUGCAGCUAUCACAAGCAUAAUGCCACCGCCACUCUUGGAGCUCCAGCUGUCUUUAUUACUGGGCAGUCAAGUCAGCGUUUCUAUUGUGCGAUUACCAUUGGGAAUGAUUCUGUGAUUUCUGCAUAUAGGCUUUCAGAGGAUAGGAGUAGAUCUUUAGUUGGAACAAUCCUCUCGAAGGUUGUCCCUGUUACAUUCUCAACCAUUGCAUCAUUUUCAAAAUUGAUAUGGCGAAAUGAGUCUAAUGCAACAAGGAAGUCCCGCCCAACACCUCAGUCAUUUGCUAAAGCAUCUCCUUUAACUUGUCUUAAAGAUACACGAAGGAAGGGAGAGAAACUCACAUUGUCUCCAAGUGGUACCUUGGCUGCAAUAACAGAUUCUCUAGGAAGAAUUCUGUUACUAGAUACUCAGGCACUUGUAGUUGUGCGACUGUGGAAGGGAUAUCGCGAUGCUUGCUGUCUUUUUGUUGAGACGCUAGUAAGCAAAGAUAGAGCAUCAUCGAGUUCCAGUAAUUAUGAAUAUACAAAAGGCGACUAUUGUUUGUGUUUAGCAAUUCAUGCACCUCGCAAAGGGAUAAUUGAGAUUUGGAAGAUGCGAACUGGGCCUCGCCUUCUAACAGUCCCUUGCCCUAAAGGAAGCAAAAUUCUUCAGCCAUCCAUUAGGUCUGGAUCCUCGUCCCAAUCGCCAUAUAUUCCCUUGGAAGUUUUUGUACUCAACGGAGAUUCUGGACAAAUAUCUGUUCUAAACCGAUCACUUUCUUGAUAUUGGUAAGAGACUCGAUACAGUUCUGAGCACUUUUUUAAUCUCCAUUUACUGGUAUUUGUUGUGCAUUUUGUAUAUUUCAAGCACAAAUUCAACCUUAUUCAAAUAAUACUUUUUGUC
This is an RNA transcript of Zingiber officinale, 4787 nucleotides long. It is a transcript of the gene named CBL-interacting protein kinase 19-like, with no coding region annotated. The transcript has 10 exons. NCBI's taxonomy places the organism in Eukaryota, Viridiplantae, Streptophyta, Magnoliopsida, Zingiberales, Zingiberaceae. The record is from RefSeq and is a predicted model, not a curated record.